AUAAAAAAUCUUAAAGGACUUAAAAGAAAAUCCACAAUAAAUCUUAAAAGAAUCCUUAAAAAACCUUAAAAAAUAUUAAAAUAAUAAAAAAAUAUAUCUUAAAUAAAUCUCAACCAAAUUCUAAUUUAAUCCUUAUUGAAAUCCUAAUAGACUUCAAUCAAACCUUAGACAAACCUUAAACUCUAAACCAAAUCCUAGACAAAUUCUAAAUCCUUAAUCAAAUCCUAAAAAAAUCCCAAAUCUUAAAUCAAAUCCUAGAUAAAUCCUGAAUCCUAAAUUCUAAAUCCUAAAUCAAAUCCUAGACAAAUUCUAAUCCUAUACCAA
This 324-nucleotide long non-coding RNA is filed under the name Physcomitrium patens. RNAcentral describes it as "long non-coding RNA (PPAT_LNC005022)". The record is from RNAcentral. Lineage: Eukaryota; Viridiplantae; Streptophyta; Bryopsida; Funariales; Funariaceae.